RNAcentral lists this ribosomal RNA (660 nucleotides) under uncultured bacterium. RNAcentral describes it as "bacterial SSU rRNA". It matches the Rfam family "Bacterial small subunit ribosomal RNA", at positions 666 to 1404 of the family's 1533-position model. The record is from RNAcentral.
AUUCGUGGUGUAGCGGUGAAAUGCUUAGAUAUCACGAAGAACUCCGAUUGCGAAGGCAGCUCACUGGACUGCAACUGACACUGAUGCUCGAAAGUGUGGGUAUCAAACAGGAUCAGAUACCCUGGUAGUCCACACAGUAAACGAUGAAUACUCGCUGUUUGCAAGGGCCAAGCGAAAGCAUUAAGUAUUCCACCUGGGGAGUACGCCGGCAACGGUGAAACUCAAAGGAAUUGACGGGGGCCCGCACAAGCGGAGGAACAUGUGGUUUAAUUCGAUGAUACGCGAGGAACCUUACCCGGGCUUAAAUUGAAGGUGCUGCAUGGUUGUCGUCAGCUCGUGCCGUGAGGUGUCGGCUUAAGUGCCAUAACGAGCGCAACCCUUAUCUUUAGUUACGACUCUAGAGAGACUGCCGUCGUAAGAUGGAGGAAGGUGGGGAUGACGUCAAAUCAGCACGGCCCUUACGUCCGGGGCUACACACGUGUUACAAUGGGGGGUACAGAAGGCAGCUAGCGGGUGACCGUAUGCUAAUCCCAAAAUCCUCCCUCAGUUCGGAUCGAAGUCUGCAACCCGACUUCGUGAAGCUGGAUUCGCUAGUAAUCGCGCAUCAGCACGGCGCGGUGAAUACGUUCCCGGGCCUUGUACACACCGCCCGUCAAGGGC